This 503-nucleotide ribosomal RNA is filed under the name uncultured prokaryote. RNAcentral's name for it is "bacterial SSU rRNA". It matches the Rfam family "Bacterial small subunit ribosomal RNA", at positions 788 to 1283 of the family's 1533-position model. The record is from RNAcentral.
CGGUAGUCCUAGCCGUAAACGAUGGGUACUAAGUGUAGGAGGUCAUUGACCCCUCCUGUGCUGUAGCUAACGCAUUAAGUACCCCGCCUGGGGACUACGGUCGCAAGACUAAAACUCAAUGUAAUUGACGGGGGCCCGCGACAAGCGGUGGAGCAUGUCGCUUAAUUCGAAGCAACGCGAAGAACCUUAUCCAGUGGCUUGACAUCCUCUGACAACUGUGGAAACACAGCGUUCUCUUAUGGGACAGAGUGACAGGUGCUGCAUGGCAGUCGUCAGCUCGUGUCGUGAGAUGUUGGGUUAAGUCCCGCAACGAGCGCAACCCCUAUCUUUAGUUGCCAGCGCGUAAUGGCGGGGACUCUAGAGAGACUGCCGGCUAUAAGCCGGAGGAAGGUGGGGAUGACGUCAUGCCUCAUGGCCCUUAUGCCCUGGGGCUGCACACGUGCGUACAAUGGUCGGGUACAACGAGUCGCGAGACCGCGAGGUGGAGCUAAUCUCUAAAAACC